GAAGAUGCAGAGGAGCUUGCUCG
RNAcentral lists this microRNA (23 nucleotides) under Heligmosomoides polygyrus. RNAcentral's name for it is "hpo-miR-10076-5p". Lineage: Eukaryota; Metazoa; Nematoda; Chromadorea; Rhabditida; Heligmosomidae. The record is from miRBase by way of RNAcentral.